RNAcentral lists this long non-coding RNA (3110 nucleotides) under Trifolium pratense (red clover). RNAcentral describes it as "long non-coding RNA (TPRA_LNC000306)". Lineage: Eukaryota; Viridiplantae; Streptophyta; Magnoliopsida; Fabales; Fabaceae. The record is from RNAcentral.
AAUCAGUAAAUGAAGCAAGCUCUCCAACAUAAAAGGAAACUAACUAUGUAAUUUGCUGUGAUAUUUUUAUACAGUUUCCGUUACUUAAUAGUUUGUUCUUGAAGUUGUAUCUUGUUCUAUAGGCGUCGACUGCAAACUGAAUAGUGCACUGCUUCUCAGUCUCAUUGAUUGAUAUGUUUAGUUCUUAGUCGUAGAAAAGUGUUUUAUAAGGCUUUGAGGAGUAACAAUAACAGUAAUGUAUAAUCCUCUUUUCUAAAGCAUUUCUGCGUUGAGAUGCAAUACUACUUGGCUUGGUAACUUCUUUUAAAUUUUCCCGAUUACAGAAAACUUCAAAAUAGAGCACUUUAGCGAUGUUAAUAACUACAACUAACCCCCACCACUAGCAUUGUGUCCCUUAUAUUUCUUCGCCAGUUUUCACUCUUACUCAUCAAUCAAAAACUAGGUAUGAUCAAACACCUGAUUCUUUUACUUUAUUUCCAUUAUUCCUUUUAUUCUUGGUUACAUAUUUCCCAUCCCCUCAAAAACACAAGAAAAAUGAAUCUAGCAUUUGACACACAUGACACAUCAGUUCGAACAUUAUAAAAUCAAUCAGCUAAGCGAAAAAAUUCACAUCAGAAGGUUAAAAGUUAAAAACCAGUUUUCCUACCUUCUCAGAGGAGCAAACCUCAAAAAACAAAAAAAUUGAGUGUUGAGAAGCACAACUAUACAAAAGCAAAACACAACAUUUACGGAAACACAAAAACCAAAAGCCAAGUUCUAUAAGACACUGCAUAUGUAUGUCAAAGUAUACUAGUAUAAAUCAGAGAAAACCAAAACCAGGAAGCAGCCUUAGCUCUACAUGUACAACAAGCCUUGGAAGCUUCGUCGCCAUUUAAGUGGCUUUGCAAUUCAAUUUUGAGGUAUUAAAUGGUGAAUUGACCCGCUUUUGGUUAGAUACUUGGUCGGGGCUGUCACCGUUUUGUGAGAGAUUUCCUACUUUUUUCUUUCUCAAAUAAAAAAGAUGGAACGGUGAGGGAGAUGGGGGAGUGGAUUGAAAAUGAGUGGAGGUGGUCAUUUGAUUGGCGUAGAAGAUUAUUUGUGUGGGAGGAAGGAUUGUUUGAAGAGUUGUUGGCGGAACUGAUGCUGGUCAUUCCUAGGGUGGGAGAAGAUUGUUGGGUCAGGACACCAGAUGACAAGGAGACUUUUUCAGUCUGUUCUGCUUAUACUUUGACCGUAAAGGUGCUGCUCGGUGAGGUAACCAUACACCCUCAGUCAUUUCUGUAUAUCAAAACCUGUGGAGGAUCUUGGCGUCGUCUAAGGUGGCAGCAUUUCUUGGAAGCUGCUGCUAAAUCACAUUCCGAUGAGGACAGCUUUAGCGAGUAGAGGAGUGACAGCAGCUGAUCGUCGAGUGGAUUGUGCUCUGUGUUGUGGGGAGGAGGAAACAACACUUCACNNNNNNNNNNNNNNNGUUUGGUAUGGUGUUUUCCGGUGGCUUGAUUUGGUGAUCGUUACACCACCAAACCUUUUUGUUCUUUUUGAGUGCCUUAGUGAUACAGCAAUUGGAAAUAAAUUGAGAAAGGGUUAUUGGUUUAUUUGGCAUGCUAUGGUCUCUUUGGAAAGCAAGGAAUGAAACCAUCUUCUCAAAUAAUCAUAAGGUUGUGGCACAGGUAGUUGACGAAAUAAAAACAGUGUCUUGGAAGUGGGCGAUGAAUAGAAUGAAGUUGGCAACAGUGUCUUGGAAGUGGGCGAUGAGUAAAAUGAAGUUGGCCCCUUGCAUUUUGUAGGAAUGGAUUUGGGACCCCGGUGAUUGUUUGAGAAGAUAAAAACUGCUGUCUUAAAGUUGUUGCUGCUGGUGCUAUAAAGGAAGACCGCAGAUUGCUUGUGCUUUGUACCUGGGAAUGCCUAAUAAUCUGACAAAGAGUGUGUAAUGCUUUAGUUGUGAAAAUAAGGUUAUUUAGGUGUUCUUUACAGUGUGUUAGGUUUGUGUGUGUGCUGGACAGGUGUUUGCUUCUAUUACCUUGUCCUUAGUUUUUUCUGGUUAUUAGCUCUUGGGUUAUGUACUGGUGUAGCAUGCUUAGGCGCAGCACCUAGCCUGGGAUUUUGGAAUUUCCUUGUUGAUUGGAAGGAUUUUAAUUGUAUGGGUGUUGCCUUUUGUCUUUAGUUUCUAUACCCACUAGCUAGUGCAGGAGGUGUAAUGUUCUCUUCCUCACCGAGUCACCGGGGUAUGUCUUGUGCUCGGAUAGAGUUAUAUAUAUUGAUUUGCCGAUUAAAAAAAAAUACAGUUGAAACUUUAACCAUAGAACCCAUAUAUUCUCUUAAACUAUAAGUUUAACAAACAUAUAAACAUAAUAAGAAGCAGCUGGCCUACAAUCCAUAGCUCACUUUAAGUUUAUCAAACAUGUAAAAAACUGAUAAGAAGCAAUCGGGCAUCAAUAGAGUUUGAUUCAACAUUCUAGUAGUGAGACAAGCCCUUGCAAAUGCAUUCUUUCUCAUAUAUACACAGUAUGAGGAAGCUACUGGAACCUUAGGAUCAUAAAAUAUGAGGAAAAAUCAAAUGGUAAAGAAACAUGGUAAAUGUUUGACUAAAGAAUUCUAUAACAAUUGGAGCCAUGACUUAAUAAUAAGCAGAAACAUCAAGCAUAAUAAGAACAAUAGGAUAGGGAAAAGCAAUAACACCGACAAUAGUGACAAAAAACAUAUUUCAAACGAUUCUCAACAAUAUUGACUACUAGGAAUUCCAACAUGAAGAAUGGGAAAAAAAAACUCAAUUCAAACAAAAGAAGAAUGAAAGAACUUCAACAAUUAAUUAAGCUCAAUCGAUACCACAAUAACAAUACAUGCAUACAUCGAUUAAUCAGGUAAGUUCACCUAUAGCCAAGAAAAAUGUGUAUAAAGCUCAAUCGUUACCACAGUAAAUAACAACCUAUGCAGAAAAGACGCUUCACUAAAUUAGAAAGAACUUGCUCAUAAAGAAGGAUGAAGAAUACCUGAGCUGAAGAUCCACACAGGAGAGGACGAGAGGCAAGAGUUGUGAGCGUUCAGAUCGAGUGCUUUGGAAUGAGAGUUGUGAGUGAGAGCUGAAAUAACAAGCCAAAAGAUUCUGAACACCAAAUUUCUACAAAAUCCCUAAU